This 301-nucleotide long non-coding RNA is filed under the name Nicotiana benthamiana. RNAcentral's name for it is "long non-coding RNA (NBEN_LNC040370)". Lineage: Eukaryota; Viridiplantae; Streptophyta; Magnoliopsida; Solanales; Solanaceae. The record is from RNAcentral.
GUUAAUUUAAUAUACUGUAAUUAGGUGAAAUUAAUUGAUAAAUAGUAGGUUAGUUAAUUAGUUGUAUAAAUAGAAGUUAAUUACACAUGUACAGUAGCUUUCUUAAAAUCAGUUAGACAGAUAAUGAAGCUUCUCCUUAUUCUUCAUCGACUUACUUCCUCUUCUGCUAUGGGUGACUAGUUUAGUAUUGUAUCAGAGCUUUAAGGCUAGAUCAAUUAGCUCAGCAGCUUCAGGAGAGGAAUAUCACUGGUUAAUCGCUUCCUUUACUCUAUUCCGUUAUCAUUUUAAAGCAAAUUCCCUG